CGGUACCUGAAGAAAAAGCAUCGGCUAACUCCGUGCCAGCAGCCGCGGUAAUACGGAGGAUGCAAGCGUUAUCCGGAAUCAUUGGGCGUAAAGGGUCCGCAGGUGGCCAAUCAAGUCGGCUGUUAAAGACCGGGGCUUAACUCCGGGCAGGCAGUGGAAACUGAUUAGCUAGAGUACGGUAGGGGUAGAGGGAAUUCCCAGUGUAGCGGUGAAAUGCGUAGAUAUUGGGAAGAACACCGGUGGCGAAAGCGCUCUACUAGGCCGAAACUGACACUGAGGGACGAAAGCUAGGGUAGCGAAAGGGAUUAGAUACCCCUGUAGUCUUAGCUGUAAACGAUGGAUACUAGGUGUAGCUCGUAUCGACCCCAGCUGUGCCAAAGUUAACGCGAUAAGUAUCCCGCCUGGGGAGUACGCACGCAAGUGUGAAACUCAAAGGAAUUGACGGGGGCCCGCACAAGCGGUGGAGUAUGUGGUUUAAUUCGAUGCAACGCGAAGAACCUUACCAGGGCUUGACAUGUCGCGAAUCUAGCGGAAACGUUAGAGUGCCUUAGGGAAUGCGAACACAGGUGGUGCAUGGCUGUCGUCAGCUCGUGUCGUGAGAUGUUGGGUUAAGUCCCGCAACGAGCGCAACCCUCGUCCUUAGUUGCCAAUAUUAAGUUAGGCACUCUAGGGAUACUGCCGGGGACAACUCGGAGGAAGGUGGGGAUGACGUCAAGUCAGCAUGCCCCUUACGUCCUGGGCGACACACGUACUACAAUGGUUGGGACAAAGGGCAGCAAGCUCGCGAGAGUAAGCGAAUCUCAUCAAACCCAGCCACAGUUCAGAUUGCAGGCUGCAACUCGCCUGCAUGAAGUAGGAAUCGCUAGUAAUCGCAGGUCAGCAUACUGCGGUGAAUUCGUUCCCGGGCCUUGUACACACCGCCCGUCACACCAUGGAAGCUGGCUACGCCCGAAGUCGUUACCCUAACCCUAAGGGGAGGGGGAUGCCGAAGGUAGAGCUAGCGACUGGGGUGAAGUCGUAACAAGGCAGCCGUACCUGAAGGUGUGGCUGGAUCACCUCCUUU
RNAcentral lists this ribosomal RNA (1063 nucleotides) under uncultured cyanobacterium. RNAcentral's name for it is "bacterial SSU rRNA". It matches the Rfam family "Bacterial small subunit ribosomal RNA", at positions 473 to 1533 of the family's 1533-position model. Lineage: Bacteria; Bacillati; Cyanobacteriota. The record is from RNAcentral.